Molecule: long non-coding RNA, 19837 nt
Filed under: Capsicum annuum
Lineage: Eukaryota; Viridiplantae; Streptophyta; Magnoliopsida; Solanales; Solanaceae
Description: long non-coding RNA (CANN_LNC008984)
Rfam family: U1 spliceosomal RNA (bases 19225-19385)
Source: RNAcentral
GACUCCAUGGCCGUCAUGGAGCCAUAGAGGAUCAUUCCGACUACCCUUCAUUUCUUUCGCUAUUAGAGAAUUAGAAAGAUUCAUAAUGAAGACGCUACUUUGGAUAUGAGCUUUUCGAUUGACAAUGAUAUGAAGGUCAAAAGACUAGUUGUCCCACAUCGUCAAAUGAAUAAGUUAGAAUAUUAAUGGGCCAAGGACCACCAAGAAACAUACUUACCUGGACGGGGUCAAUGGGCGAUCAUGAAGGCCCAUGGCCUAGGUUGGUGACCUCCAUUGCACUUUCGUGGGCUGCCUGCCUAAGGUCGAUCCAAGUGGUCGAGCCUACGUCAUAAUUUGUGGCAGUGGGGGCCUGCGUUUGCGCUGCCCCUACCCAAUUCAAAGUCUAAAUCUCUUAUUCGAUCCAUGGAUUGUGAACUUGAUGUUUCUCUAGUUAACCUAAAUGUUUUUCUUGAAAGAAAGAUAAGCUCUUGGUACAUUUGUAAUUCAGAAUCUGGUUUACUUGAUAUGAUUAUGGAAUCAUUGAACAUGUAGCCUCCAAAAAUAGGUGUAUGCCACUAUUUGCACCGCGCACACAGUAUUCUUUAAUAAAAGGCGAAAGAGUAGUUCACUCGAUCUGUGGUCACUGCGUGGGCGUGGCUGCAUGGAAGUUGUAACUGAUUUUCAAGGAGGCUUUGUAUAUAGUUUCAAGGGCCAAGGACAUCUAUGAGACAUACUUACCUUGACGGGGUCAAUGGCCCAUGGCCUAGGUUAGCGACCUCAUUGCACUUUGGAGGGUUGCCUGCCUAAGUUCGAUCCAAGUGGUCGAGCCUACGUCAUAAUUUGUGGCAGCGGGGGCCUGCGUUUGCACGGCCCCUACCUAACACAAAGUCCAAUUGUUUUCUAAUAUCUCAUUUAUAGGUGUAUGAAUUGCUCUAACACCCACAUUCUUAUGAAUUUUUCAAAUAGAAACUUUUAACUAUGAGAGAUUUAAGGGAAUGUGGUCUUUUUAUUCUCAACAUGGUCAUAUGUAUCCACAUUUAUUACAUAAUUCAACAGACUGUUCAUCUAAUAAUGUUUGAAUUUAGACUGUUAGAUUGAACAUGUGCAAUGAUUUACUUGAUAGACUGAGGUAGCGGUCCUUGUUAGAUUGAACAUAUGUAAUGAUUUUGAUAGACUGAGGUGGCGGUCGUUGUAACAGUUAGUGUACACUCAGAACCAUACGCCUUUUUCAGCGCGUCCAAUCAAAACAUUGCUUCCAACUUUGACCAUGUAUAUACAACAAUAACAUACUCCCACUAAUCUCACAAGGUGUGCAAAGGGUAGUGUGUAUGUAGCCUUACCCCUAUUUUGAGGAGGUAGAGAGGCUGUUUUCAAUAGACCAUCAGCUCAAGUGAAGUAUAUCGAAUCAGAUAUGGUCAUCAUCAGAACAUGUUGACAUAUUAACUAUCACAUUGAAGGGAGGUUAAAAAUUAAUGUGAUACUAAUUGAGGCAUUUAACGCGCUACUAUCUCCAUUUACACAUUUUGCAGACUGAUUCCGUUAAGCAAUUAAUGCAUGAUCAUCCAUAUAAAAAUUCACUGCAGAGAUAUCAUUGUAUCCUCUGUAGUUUGGCUGUUAGACUUCGCCCCUAGUUUUGAUUGUUGGAAUGUCGGGAAAGGAAGAUGCCUCAGCUGGCGGAGCUGAUGGCUCUCAGGAGCCAUGCCAACUUGCAAAUAGUGGGAGAAUGUACUGNNNNNNNNNNNNNNNNNNNNNNNNNNNNNNNNNNNNNNNNNNNNNNNNNNNNNNNNNNNNNNNNNNNNNNNNNNNNNNNNNNNNNNNNNNNNNNNNNNNNNNNNNNNNNNNNNNNNNNNNNNNNNNNNNNNNNNNNNNNNNNNNNNNNNNNNNNNNNNNNNNNNNNNNNNNNNNNNNNNNNNNNNNNNNNNNNNNNNNNNNNNNNNNNNNNNNNNNNNNNNNNNNNNNNNNNNNNNNNNNNNNNNNNNNGAUAAGGAUAUACUAAAGCAAAAUGGGAUUACUCAUGUUCUUAACUGUGUGGGGUUUGUUUGCCCCGAGUAUUUCCAGUCUGAUUUUGUAUACCAGACUUUAUGGUUACAUGGUAGCCCGUCAGAAGAUAUUACGAGCAUUCUUUAUGAUGUUUUUGGCUACUUUGAAGAUGUCAGGGAGAAACAUGGAAGGGGUUUUGUGCAUUGCUAACAAGGGGUCUCUUGGUCAUCCUCGUUGGUUAUCGGUUAUCUUUUGUGGAGAGAAGGACAAAGUUUUGAUGUUGCAUUUGAGUACGUAAAGGCAGCAAGGUGCAUCGCGGAUCCAGAUAUUGGUUUUGCUUGUCAGUUGUUACAAUGCCAAAAAAGGGUUCAUGCUUUCCCUUUGAGUCCCAGUUCAUUAUUAAGGAUGUAUAGAGUUGCGACUCAUUCACCAUACGAUCCUUUGCAUCUCAUUCCGAAAAUGGUAAAUGAUCCUUCUCCGUCAGCAUUAGAUUCCAGAGGUGCAUUUAUUAUAUAUAUACCCUCAUCAAUAUAUGUUUGGAUUGGUAAAAAGAGUGAAGCAAUCAUGGAAAGAGAUGCCAGAGGGGCUGUUUGCCAGAUUGUUCGUUAUGAGAAAGUGCAGGCACCAAUCAUAACAGUUAUGGAAGGUGAGUGUAACACCCCGCAUUUCGGACGAGAACGAAAAUCAUCAUUUCCUUCACGUAAAGGUUCCAAAAGCCAUAAAUCCAAUGCAAGUUUGGUGUUUUAAUAAGUUAUGUAGUGUGGAAACCUAUUUGAGCAUGAAUUGAGAUCAUAGAGGUCCCCAUGCUCAAGGACAAGUUGAAAGUUUUCCUAUCAUUCGAAUUUUAGUGAGCGUUGAAACUUAGGUCAACUUCAAUCGACCAUUACUCUUUUUAUAUAUUGAAUUAGAGUGCCUACUAUAUAUCAAAUGAAAAGUAUUCGAAUUAUCUUUUCAACGAUACCAAUUUCGCAAAAAUCUGACACCCGAGGAAGAAGUUAUGGCUUUGCAAAGUGGAGUGUGUCGUGCAGCAUAAGGUGUGCGAUGCACACCCUAACUUAUGCCAUAUGGUGUGCGACGCACAACCUAAUGUGUGCGAUAAAGAGUGCGCUGCACAACCUAUAUUAUGCCAUAAGGUGUGUGCCGCAUACAUUAUUACUCAAGUGACUUAAACACUUCAUUUUUGGACCAAAAUGGUCAAUUUCCCACCCUUAUUUAGCCAUAAACACGAAAUUCAGUNNNNNNNNNNNNNNNNNNNNNNNNNNNNNNNNNNNNNNNNNNNNNNNNNNNNNNNNNNNNNNNNNNNNNNNNNNNNNNNNNNNNNNNNNNNNNNNNNNNNNNNNNNNNNNNNNNNNNNNNNNNNNNNNNNNNNNNNNNNNNNNNNNNNNNNNNNNNNNNNNNNNNNNNNNNNNNNNNNNNNNNNNNNNNNNNNNNNNNNNNNGUUAACUUGAGAGCAUGAAUUAUAUGAAAAUUCCUCUCUUGAUAUGAUUUUGUAUUAAUCCUCAUAUGAUGUGAAUUGUUUGAAAUCAUCUUGACAAGCAUGACAUGAAAUAUUUUGAAAAUGGUUAUGAUUUUUGACUUGAAAUGAGAGGGUUGUUAUGUUAAAAUAUGAUGAAUAUAAUGGUUGCAUGAAAGAAUGAUAUGAUAUUGAUGGCUUGCAAGUCGGGUAUGACGAUACCUACAUAAUAUGAUAUGUGAUGGAAUUAAAUGAAGUUGAAUGCAUUGAUUUUUCAUGAGAUAGGUGGAUGCCCGAAGAAGGCGUUUGAGUGUAAGGGCUCAUCACUGGGAACCGUGUUUGCCGACAUGGAAAUUUGGUACCAGGCUAAGUGUUCCUGUGUACUUGACUUUAUGUCAUUCCCAAAUUGGGACUAUGGUUAGGAGCCCAGGCUAAGUGAUCUUGGGCACUACUAUACUUUAUUGGGUUGAGAUACCCUGCUGUAUGAUCUUGUAUGUCUUCCCCUUACUUAUAGUCUAAUCUCGGUGGCAACCGAGGUUUGACAGUUAGUGUAAAUGUUAUAUGUAGGGUAUUCCACCUAGCUCAGCUACAUUACAUUUUUGUUGAAAACAAUUACAUUUUGCCCAUGUGUUUUCAAGUGAUUUGAUAUGAAACUGCUUUAUAAUGGCUCUCACCUAUAUUUUGUAAAAAUAUUAUGUUUUUGUUUUGAUUUCUCUGCAAACCAGUACUUUUGUAUUGAUGCCUUUCCCUCCCAGGUUUGGAGGCACAGUCUAGGGGUCCAGAAAAUUAGUAGAUUUCUCAGACAGAUUUGCAGAGUCCCUUGGUGAGCCUUCUAUAUUCCAGAAGGCCUAAUAUCUGGUAGUUUCAUUGAUCAUUUAUUAGUUUUGGGUCUACUGGGGGCCUUGUCCCAGUUUUCAGAUAGUUACUUGUUUCAGUUAUGUAGUAGAGAUUUUGCAGACGAUUUUUGAGAUGUUGAUUGAGAUAGUUACUUUCCAUGGCCUUAUCAAGACUCUCAGGUUCUCCUCUGUCAGUCAAGAGUACAUACUCACUGGGAGAAUAACGAGAUAAAGGUAUUCUUUCUCUUGUAGAUCGUCUAAGAGAACUCUCUGGAGCAUAAAAAAUUGGUUGCUGAUCAACCAUAUUAACUUGCACUGGAGCAUCAACAACUUCUUGCUGGUCAUUCUGAACAUGAUCAUCAUCUUCAUUAUCAACUUGUUGAAGAUUUUCUUCAGGAGCAGUAGUCAAAGGAACUGGAUCAACAUCAACUAGGCUCUCACUACUCUAACAAUCAACCUUCUCAGCUUUGUCAAAAUCUUCAAUUGUUUGGUCUUCAAAGAACACAACAUCGCGGCUUCUAACAAGUUUCUUCUCAACUAAAUCAUAGAAGCGAUAGCCAAGUUCAUCUUGACCAUAACCAAUGAAGAUACACUGUCUAGUUUUAACAUCUAACUUCUCACUCAUAUGACUCAACCUUCUAUGCCACAACUCUGAUGAAGUAUCAUUCUCCACCAAGUUUAUCAAGCCUCUAGAAGUAGAUCCCUGAAAUAUGUACAAGUUAGACAACUUGUCACCUCGAGCCACAAUCAUCGAACCUCGAGUAAGCUUCCACUGACCAGCACCAAGGGUAUUAACAUAACUCUCAUUAUCAGUACUUCCUACAGAAAUCAAAUUCAAGCGAACAUCUAGAGCAUGCUUGACAUUAUUGAGAACUAGUUUGGAACUAUUGUUACUUUUCAAACAAAUCAUGCCAAUGCCAAGUACUUUAACUUCAUCAUUAUUGUCUAUUUUCAACAUCCCAAAAUUAUCUGGACUAUAAGAAGAAAAUAAUUCCUUCUUUGGCAUAACAUGAGAAGUAACACCAAAAUCCACAAACCAGCUAAACUCAUCACGAACAAGAUUAAUGGCAUUGUCACGACAAACAAUAAGAAGAUCAUCAUUAGCAACAACAGCAACAUGAUUUUCAUUAUCGCCUUCUUUCUUUUGCCGUCUUAUAUUUCUCUUAUGCUUGUAAUAAUAUUUCAUGAUAUGCCCCUUUUUGUUGCGAUAGUCACAUGUAACAUUCUUGAAUUUGGACCUUGACUUGCUUCUACUUUUAUCUCUAUCAUUUGAAUCUCUAGACUUAUUUCUCCCCCUCUCUUCAGUAACCAAAACAUCAGAGUGUGAAGAUGAAGAAGAUGAGGCCUGAGAUCUUUUUUUUAUCUCUUCAUUCAAGAUACCACUCUUAACAUAUUCCAUAGUUACAAUACCACUGGAAGCAAAAUUAGUCAAAGAAACUCGAAGAGUUUCCCAAGAGUCAGGCAGAGUAUUAAGAAGCCAAUGUCCCUGAAUUUCUUCAUCAAACUUUACACCCAUUUCGGACAGCUGGUCAAGGACACCCUGAAAAUCAUUUAUAUGAUUAGAAAUAGGAUCUCCUUCUUUAUACCUGAUAUUCAUCAAUUGCUUAAGUAGGAACAACUUGUUAUUGUUAGUUUUCGAAGCAUAAAGUGUCUCGAUCUUAUCCCACAAACUUAUAGCAUGUGUCUCAUUCACAAUAUGAUUUCUAACAUUAUCUUCAACCCAUUAUCUGAUAUAGCCACAAACCUGUAAGUGCUCAAAUUCCCAAUCCUCAUCUAUCAUGGAUUCAGGUUUAGUAAAUACAAACAUAGGUAGAUGCAUUUUCUUGACAAGUAGAAUAUUUUUCAUCUUGCCUUUCCAAGUAUGAUAGUUACUACCAUUCAAACACACCUAUCACGAUCUGAGUUGGGGCCCUAGCCGUGACGAGCAUCCCGAACCAUGAAGGCCCGGAACACCCUUCUCUAUCUAUCUGGUAAUCAUGCAUAUAAUUCAUAUGAUAAAAGGUAAUGAGGAAAGAUAAAUCUAAUACAGAAACAUGGUCAAUCUGAAUGUGAUCACAAUUCUGAAAACUGAAAUCGAAAAUAUAUCUGAAUAAUAAUGUCUGACUCAGUCUACGAAAUCUCUAUCAUGAACUAAUCAAAGUUGUCUGAAAGUUGGGCCAAGGCCCCCAGUAGACCAAAACCUAACUAAUAAUAGUAAUAUGAAAUAACCAGGCCUUCUGAAUCAUAGAAGGCUCACUACUGCAAACUCCGAUCUGUGAUCUGAAAUCUCUACUAUUUAUCUUGACCCCUAGACUGUGCCUCAGAACCUGGAAGGAGAAGGGGGGGUCAGCACAAUUGUACUGGCAUGUGAAGCAAUCCAAAAUAGAGUAACUGAACAUAUAUAUAAUAUGGAGAGCAAUUUUCAUCAAAACGUCAUGCAUAAAACAGUUUCUGAAAAACACAUGGGCACUUUCUGUAAACAUGUAACCUGUCUGUAAAUUUCAAAUUCUGAUCUGUGUAUUACUUUUGAGUUAGGUGGUAUCCCGUACAAGUCAGAUAUUCUACAGGCGAUAUGGAAUCCUCCAUUAACUCGGCGGGGAAACCUCCAACUCGAGUGUGUCGCAAGGGUUGGAGUUCCUGAAUAUGAUACGCCACACAACACUUAAAUCUGCGUAUAAUAAUUUACUCGAGUUGGCAAACCACGAUUUUAGGCAAAAAUUUGUCUAAACUCACGCCUUCUUCGGGAACCACCUAAUCUCUCUUUAUGCCUUAUUUUAGCCUUUUCUGAACAUGCAUCAUUCUGAAGUUCUAAAACAUGCAAAUAUGAUAAAGUCUGAUUUCUGUAUUCGUCUGUGUCUGUUAUGGAAUUUUCUGAGUUUGGUAUCGUCAUACCAAGAUUUGCAAGUCAUGAUUUUUGAGCCAUAAUACAUUAAGAUAAAUCUUUCAAUUCAAGCAAAGCUUAGACCACCCAAAAACAUACAACUCAUAUACAAGAUUUCGUGUUCCGAAACUCAAGUCAAAAUCAUGCAAAAACUUCAUCAACAUAUGGUGGUCUAGUACCUUUAGCAAAUCUAUGCACUCUUUUAUUACAUGCAUUAUGAACAUUAAACAUUCAUGCUAGAUUCCCACUUUAGUGAUUUAAAAUCACCUUUAAAUCAUAACAAGAGUUCAAUCAUUUCAUAUAGUGCUUUUCAAGGAUGCAUUGCAAAACAAUUCAUAUGCUAUGAGAAAUCUGAAAAAUUCAGAAUAAGAGGGAAUUCACCAAAAAUCAUGCUCUCAACAAGAAUUCAUUCUUAAAUACAUUGUUUCAUACAUUCAUAUUCUCAAAUCACUUUAGGGAAGGUCAAAAGACCAAAACAAUGAUGUUAAAACAUUUAAUACAUAAAUAUAUAUAUAGAUUGAAUAACCCCAUUCUAAAACAUGAUUUUUCUAUGCCCAUGAGAAUUUAGGAAAACCCCGCGUACCUCUAUUCUGGAAAAUAAUGGGUGCUUCUUGAAGCCUGUGGAUUGGAGAUUCUGAAUCUCUAAUCGAUUUUGAAAACUGACGGUUCAAUCUUGAUUUAUUUGGGUUUUUAGUUUGAAAUCCUUGGGAGUGUUCUUGAGAAUUUUUAGAUGAAUGUGGAUGUAUUUUGGAGAAUUGGGGACUGAAUUUUAUGUUUAUGGAUGAAUAAGGGUGGGAAAAGGACCAUUUUCCCCAAAAACGAAGUGUUUAAGUCACUUGAAACCAUUACAUAGGUGCCGCAUAUGAUAUCGCCUAUGUUUACAUAGGCGCUGCCUAUGCUAUUGCCUAUGUUUACAUAGGCGUCGCCUAUGCUAUUGCCUAUGUUUGCAUAGGCUCCGCCUAUGCUAUCGUCUAUGUUUACAUAGGCGCCGCCUAUGCUAUCGCAUAUGCUUUCCAGUAGCCAUGUACAAUUGGUUAGGCGAGGCAUACUACUUUGAAAGGCCAUAACUUCUUGCUCAGGUGCCGAAUUUUAGCAAAAUUGGAAUCGUUGGAAAGCUAACUCGAAAACCUAUCAUUUUACACAUAGUAGGCUCUCUAAUUCGAUAUAUACAAAGAGUCAUGGUUGAUAGAAGUUGACACAAAUUAUAAUAUCCACUUAAACUUAAUCGAUCAAAGUAGUUUUCAACUCGUCCUUGAGUCAAAGGACCACUAUGGUCUAAAUUAAAGCUUGAAUGGAUUCACAUACUACACAAAUAAUUAACAUACCAUAUUGGCAUAGGAUUUAUGGAUUCAAGAUUAUCAACGCAUCGGAAUCAUGGUCUAUAUUGUAGCCCAAAAUGUGGGGCGUUACAUUAUCCCCCCUUAGGAUCAUUCGUCCCCGAAUGAUGAUGCGGGACACAGACAGACACGAUUUCAAGCAUAAUAAGGACUAGGAAAGAUAAGAUAGGAACAGUACCUUCUGUCUCAUCAUCCAUCGAAGCAAAAAAAUAGAGAUAUCUAAUUCUCAUGUCAUCUUCUGACUCCCAAGUUGCUUCUUCAACUUUUGGAUUCCUCUACAAUACCUUCACUGAGGCUAUCUCUUUGCUCCUCAACUUUCAAACUUGGCGAUCUUCAAUGGGCUCUUCUUCGUAAGAUAAUGAAUCUGUCACUUUGAUAUCCUCUAUUGUCAAUGCCAAAGAAUGAUCUCCAAUGCAUUUCUUCAACAUGGAUACAUGGAAUACCAGAUGAACGGAACCCAAACUUGCAGGCAAUUCUAGCUCAUAAGCAACUGCACCAAUCUUUCUCAGAAUCUGAUAUGACCCUAUAUAGCGAGGGCUCAAUUUACCCCUUUUUCCAAACCGCAUAAUUCCUUUCAUAGGAGAAACCUUGAGAAACACCCAAUCACCAACUUCAAACUCUAAUUCUCUUCUUCAAACAUCGGCAUAGGACUUCUGAUGACUCUGAGCAGUCUUGAGUCAUUCUUUAAUGAUCUUCACUUUCUCCAUCGCCUGAUGAACAAGAUCAGGCACAUACAACUGAGUCUCACCCACUUGAUACCAUCCUAUCGGAGAUCUACAUCUUCUCCCAUACAAAGCCUCAAAAGGAGCCAUCUUGAUGCUGGCAUGGUAACUAUUAUUGUAAGAAAAUUCAAUAAGUGGUAGGUGAUCUAUCCAAAUACAUUUGAAAUCAAUGACACAUGCCCUCAACAUAUCCUCAAGGGUAUGAAUGGUAUGCUCAGCUUGCCCAUCCAUCUGAGGGUGGAAAGUUGUGCUCAAUUCACUUGUGUACCUAAACCCUUCUGAAAAGAUCUCCAGAACUGAGAUGAAAACUGCAUACCUCUAUUGAAUAUAAUGGACAUUGGUGCCCCAUGCAACCGAACGAUCUCCUCAAUGUAAAUCUUAGCAUAACCCUCUCCCAAAUAAUUAUUCCUCAUAGGCAAAAAGUGGGCUGACUUUGUCAACCGAUCAACAAUUGCCUAUAUAGAAUCAUACUGGUUUAGGGAUCUCGGAAGUCCAUAAUGAAGUCCAUGUUUAUCAUCUCCCAUUUCUAUAAAGGCAGGGCUAUCUCUUGGGAAGUACCACCUGGCCUCAUAUGUUCUACCUUCACUUGAUGAAAGUUCAAACACUUGGACACGAAAUCAACUACAUCACGUUUCAUGUUAUUCCACCAAUACAAGGUUUUCAGAUCAUGGUACAUCUUAGUAGAGCCUGGGUGAAUGACAUACCUCGAAGUGUGUGCCUCAUCAAGGAUUCUUUCCCAGAGUCCAUUAAUAUUCGAAAUGCAUAAUCUACCCUAAAAUCUCAGAAUACCAUCACCACCAAUUUCAAACGACUUAACCUUUUGUUGACCCACAUCUUUCUUGAUUUGUAUCAAGAUGGGAUCUUCAAACUGCUUCUCCUUAACUUCAGCACAAAGUGAUGACUUAGCUAACUCAUGAACAAUUACCCCUCCAUCUUUGAAAUCUAAGAGUCGCACUCCCAGAUUUUCAAGGUGGUGAAUAUCCUUGACCAUCUCUUUCUUUUCUUCUUCUACAUGAGAAAGGCUGCCCAUAGACAACCUGCUGAGGGCGUCAGCUACAAUAUUUGCCUUGCCCAGAUGGUAAUGCAGGCUCAUAUCAUAGUCUUUCAGAAGCUCCAUCCAGCGCCUCUGCCAGAGGUUUAAUUCUUUCUGCGAGAAAACAUACUGCAGACACUUGUGGUCAGUGAAGAUAUCAAUGUGAACACCGUAAGAGCAGUGCCACGAAAUCUUAAGUGCAAACACCACAACCGCUAACUCCAAAUCAUGGGUAGGGUAGUUCUGCUCGUGCACCUUCAACUACCUAGAUGCAUAAGCCACUACCUUACCAUGCUGCAUCAACACACUACCAAGUCCUACACGGGACGCAUCACAGUAUACCACAAAGCCAUCUACACCCUCGGGAAGGGUCAAAAAGAGGUUUAAUUCUUUCUGCGAGAAAACAUACUGCAGACACUUGUGGUCAGUGAAGAUAUCAAUGUGAACACCGUAAGAGCAGUGCCACGAAAUCUUAAGUGCAAACACCACAACCGCUAACUCCAAAUCAUGGGUAGGGUAGUUCUGCUCGUGCACCUUCAACUACCUAGAUGCAUAAGCCACUACCUUACCAUGCUGCAUCAACACACUACCAAGUCCUACACGGGACGCAUCACAGUAUACCACAAAGCCAUCUACACCCUCGGGAAGGGUCAAAACAGUAGCAGUGAUCAGUUUGUCUUUCAACUUCUCAAAACUAUUCUCACACAGAUCAGACCACACAAACUUCACCUUUUUCUGAGUCAAUUUAGUAAGUGGAGCAGCUAUGGAAGAAAAACUUUCUACGAACCUUCUGUAAUACCCCGCCAAAUCUAAGAAGCUCUGAAUAUCGGUUGGAGUCGUGGGUCUAGGCCAUUUUCUCACUUCUUCAACUUUUUGGGGAUCCACUCUUAUCCCAUCACUGGACACAAUAUGCCCCAAGAAGGCUACAAUAUCUAACCAGAAUUCACACUUAGAAAAUUUGGCAUACAAUUGAUGAUCCUUAAGGGUCUGAAGAAUAAUUUGGAGGUGAUUGGCGUGAUCCUCUUUACUCUUAGAAUAGAUCAGGAUAUCAUCAAUAAAUACAAUGAUGAACAAGUCAAGAAAAUAAUGGAAACUCUAUUCAUAAGAUCCAUAAAGGUUGUAGGGGCGUUAGUCAACCCGAAGGACAUGACUAGGAAUUCGUAGUGACCAUAUCGGGUUCGAAACGAUGUCUUGGGUAUGUCUGACUCCCUAACUUUCAACUGAUGAUAACCCGAACGAAGGUCUAUUUUUGAAAAACACUUCGCACCCUGAAGCUGGUCAAAAAGGUCAUCAAUCCUAGGAAGAGAAUAUUUAUUUUUAAUCGUGACCUUAUUCAGCCGACGGUAGCCUAUGCACAUACGAAGGGAACCAUCUUUCUUUCGCACAAAAAGUACUGGCGCGCCCCAAGGAGAUACACUGGGGAAUAUAAAACCCUUAUCUAGGAGAUCUGCUAACUGUUCUUUCAAUUCUUUUAGUUCUGCAGGAGCCAUUCUAUAUGGUGGAAUGGAAAUACGAUGAGUGUCUGGCAACACAUCAAUACCAAAUUCAAUCUCCUUAUCAAGUGAUAUUCCUGGGAGAUCAUUUGGAAUGACUUCUGGGAAUUCUUUUACUACGAGAACAGAUUGAAGAGGAAGACUCUCGACAUUUAAGUCCUUAACUCGAAUAAGGUGGUAUAAGCAACCUUUAGAAAUGAGUUUGCGGGCUCUAAGAUAGGAUAUAAAGUGCCCUCUGGGUGCUAAAGAAUGUCCUUCCCACUCUAUCACCGGUUCAUUCGGGAAAGAAAAAGUGACCCUUCGAGUCCUACAAUCUAAUGUGUCAUAGUACGAAUGGAGUCAAUCCAUUCCUAAGAUAGCAUCAAAAGCAACCAUAUCUAACUCUAUGAGAUCUGCUAAUGUAUCCCGGCUACCAAUAGUCACAACACAACCCCUGUACACCCUCCUAGCAAUAAUAGAAUCCCCCACCGGGGUGGAAACAGAAAAGGGUUCAAAAAUCACACUGGGCUCAAACCCGAAACCAACAGCCACAUAAGGGGUCACAUAGGAUAAAGUAGACCCAGGAUCAAGUAACACAUAAACAUCAUGGGAAAAGAUUUGUAACGUACCGAUAACAAUAUCUGGGGAAGCUUCCUCCUCCCGGCGGUUGGUCAAAGCAUAUAAUCGAUUGCGAAUGUUCCUAACAGCUGAUGUGGCGCCCUUCUAAGGCGGGGGUGGUGCCGAAGAAUUCGCCUGAGACUUUGCACCACCAAUAUUCUUUCUACAGAUGGACAUUCCCUCUGAAAGUGACCCGGCUAACCAUAUAAAUAACACACUAUCGAGCCCAACUGACACCUUCCCGGAUGAUUUCUACUGCAAGUCUCACACCAUAGAAAAGUAUGAUGCUGCUGAGCCACACUACCCUAUAACCGAGUAUCCUGAGCUCUGGUUCCAUGGUUAGUCUGAAAACUCAGAGAUUGUUUGUCUGCUGGUGGUCGGGGUACUGGGGCUCUGGUAGUAGACUGCGCAUUAUCCCAAUUCUUUUUUUUCUGCUAUUUAUUUCCCCACUUACUGCCCUGAGGCUGACUAUGACUCUAGUCGGCUGAUCUGGCUCUUUUCGCUUGUCUUUCCACCUCCCUAGCUUCAGAGAUCUUCUUAUUUUUCUCUUCUACUUGUUGCAUAUGAACGGUCAGCCUAGAAAAGUCUAACUCCUUAUUCAACAUUGCCCCCUGGUACUCAAGCACCAGGUUAUCAGAAAGGCCGGCUGCAAAUUUCCUCAUCCGGGCUCUCAUAUUACUAGUCAACUCUGGUGCAAAGCGGGCUAGUUUAUUAAACUUCAAAGUGUACUCCUGGACACUCAGACUGCCCUGCUUUAGAUUCAUAAAAUCUUCCUCUUUGGCCUCCCUCAACUCCAGCUAAUCGAUCAAGCAAAACUUCCACAAAUUCACCCCAAACUGUGGGCUCAUCAGUCUCACCUUUUGUAUCCUCCCAGCCAGCAUACCACUGAUUCGCAACAUCCUUAAGCUGAUAAGUUGCUAGUUCCACCCCUUAAAUCUCAUCCACAUGCAUUACCUUACAGAUCUUUUCCAUCUCAUCCACGAACUCCUAUAGAUCUUCCUCCACCUUGGUGCCAGUGAACUUAGGUGUGUUUAUUUUCAUGAAAUAUCCGACCCUGGUAGCCUCAGACGUAAUAAAUGUAGACCCAACAUCUUCUGAUCAUUGAUCCUGGUUAGGUACCAAUUGUGUCAGCAUAUGAAUAGACCGUCUGAAUUCUGCAUUUGAAAUAUCUCUUUGAGCAGUUGAGGGACGGUUGUCAUUAGUCCGCGGAGCCCAAGGUGGACUGGUCGGGACUGGAGGGACUCCCGGAGUAGGGACAGGUUCUAGAGUGUGAGCUCUAUUAUGGGUAUGCAUCCCAUGGGUGGGACGGACCUCAUCUGCCUGAGCAUUCUGAUCGAAGAUAUGACGUGGAGGCAUAACUAUGUUUCUGAAAUACAAGAGAUCAUUGAUUAGGGAUCAUUUCAGACUGUGAAGCACGAACUAAAUCAUAAAGAAGGGAAACAUUUCCUAAAUACCUAGUAGCCUCUUGCUUAUAAGUAUGGCACGCUACACAGCCAUAACUAAAACUCUACCCGAUGUGAUUUUGCAGACACCCUGGGACCAUGAACCUUGCUUUGAUACGAAGUUUGUCACAACCCGAGCCGGGGCCCUAGCCGUGAUGAGCAUCCCGAACUAUGAAGGCCCGGAACACCCUUCUCUAUCUAUCUAGUAAUCAUGCACAUAAUUCAUAUAAUAAAAGGUAAUGCGGAAAGAGAAAUCUAAUAGGGAAACAUGGUCAAUCUGAAUGUGACCAUAAUACUAAAAACUGAAAUCCAAAAUAUAUCUGAAUAAUAAUGCCUAAUUCAGUCUGCGAAUCUCUACCAUGAACUAAUCAAAGUUAUCUGAAAGCUGGGAUAAGGCCCCCAGUAGACCAAAACCUAACUAAUAGUAGUAAUAUGAAAUAACCAGGCCUUCUGGAUCAUAGAAAGCUCACCACUGCAAACUCCGGUCUGUGAUCUGAAAUCUCUACUAUUUAUCUUGACCCCUAGACUGUGCCUCAAAACCUGGAAAGAGGGGGGUCAGCACAAUUGUAUUGGCACGCGAAACAAUCCAAAAUAGAGUAAUUGAACAUAUAUAUAUAUAUAUAAUAUGUGAAAGCAAUUUUCAUCAAAACGACAUGCAUAAAAUAGUUUCUGAAAAACACAUGGGCACUUUCUAAAAAUAUGUAACCUGUCUGUAAAUUUCAAAUUCUGAUCUGUGUAUUACUUUUGAGUUAGGUGGUAUCCCAUACAAGUCUGAUAUUCUACAGGCGAUAUGGAAUCCUUCAUUAACUCGACGGGAAACCCUCCAACUCGAGUGUGCCACAAGGGUUGGAGUUCCAGAAUUUGAAACGCCACACAACACUUAAAUCUGUGUAUAAUAAUUUACCCGAGUUGGCAAACCACGGUUUUAGGCAAAAAUUUGUCUGAACUCACGCCUUCUUCGGGGAAUCACCUAAGCUGUCUUUAUGCCCUAUUUUAGCCUUUUCUGAACAUGCAUCAUUCUGAAGUUCUAAAACAUGUAAAUAUGAUAAAGUCUGAUUUCUGUAUUCGUCUGUGUCUGUUAUGGAAUUUUUUGAGUUUGGUAUCAUCAUACCAAGACUUGCAAGUCAUGAUUUCCGAUAAAGAGGUUGUCGGAAAGACCCUCGGCUUUAGUAUCAUACAUCAAAGCAGUUCAGCAACAAUGACAGCCAGUAGUAUAAACUAGGCACAAAUUGCUUCUUUUGGACAUUGAGGAUGUUACUUAACUCUUUUUAUAGACUAGCAUAGCCCCACAUCGUCAAGUGAAUAAGACAGAAGAGUACUUGUAGCAGCAUUGAUUGCCAUUAUCUUGUACAAGAUAUGUUUAUGAGUAUUAAGGAAAAUAGAAAUCAAGUCUGGUGUAUGAACCACGACCAUGGGAUAAAAGCCUAAUUAACAGCCUCCACGGCGUUUCAGGGGUCAUGGAGCCAUAGAGGAUCAUUCUCUACUACCCUUCAUUUCUUUCGCUCAUAUCACCGGACUAUAACUAAGCGAACAAGCAUACAACAUUUUUCACUCAAACAGUAGCUCAUAAGGCAUCAAUAUGAGUUUCUAUUCAACAAAACUGCAACAUUCUUGUCUGUCUUCAUUUCUUCUCCGGGAUGUGGUGCUGCAGCUAGAUACUACUGUGCAAUACUAAUAGUCCAACAUUGUCAAGUGAAGAAGAUAGAAUAGUAGUAAGGAGAUACUAUAUAAAUGGGCCAAGUACAUUUAUGAAACAUACUUAUCUGGAUGGGGUCAAUAGGCUGGUGACCGCCAUUGCACAUUCCGGAGGGGUGCCUGCCUAAGGUCAGCCCAAGUGGUCGAGCCUACGUCAUAAUUUGUGACAGUGAGGCCUGUGUUAAAUGCCGCCUCUACCCAAUUCAAAGUAUAAUUUCUUCAUCUCAUUGGUUGCUUAGCACACGGUCUCAAUUGUAUAUGCAAUUGCAAUGUUAAACACAAAUCAUCUCUUUCAAUUAUUCUAACUUGAAAUUUAAUAUAAAUACAAAUCUGAAUUAGUUGUCCAUUUUUUUUAGCAGAAACUGAAUACAUUUUUUUCCCCGCCUCGUAUCCCACAUCGAUAAGCUAGCAACACAACCAAGUGUAUAUAUGUUGUUGCAGCAACAUGAGCAGAAACGACCUUACUUGAACAGGAUCUGUUCUAUAGGCUCAUACCACUGUCUCCUUGAGUUCUAAGGAGACCAGAAACCAAGUUUUGUGGAUGAAUCGUGGCUAUGAGACUAGAGUGUGAUUACCAGCCUCCAUGGCCUUUGGCCGGGUCAUGGUGUUGUAGAUGAUCGUUCUCUACCUGGUCCACUGGGCUUGAGAUGUCUUGUGGCUAUCUGACAGACUUACCAACUCUUUUUGCUGGAGCUCUACUCUCAGAAUCGUUAUCAGCCUGGCCCGCUGGCCGGGGAGACUAGAGCGUGAUUAACAGCCUCCAUUGCCUUCGGGUCAUAGUACUGUAGAUGAUCGUUAUCAGCCUGGUCUGCUGGGCUAGAGAUGAUCUCAUGGUUGUCUGACAGACUUACCAACUCUUUUUCCCAGUACUAUCAUGUUGUUAUCUGAAUAUUAUUGGCUUAUCUUGCAAUGCAUAACGUAUGCAGCUGAUGAAGAGAAAUCUGCUCACCUCUUAUGAAACGAUGCAUAUGUAGAACACCUUUUUGGUUUUAGUAAUUACUGGAAGUUUUAUUUUCUUUCUAUAGUCGAGAUAGUUGCACGUAAUGACCGUUCCCAACCAUACUACUAAAAGCUUGUGGAAAGAAUCUGAUUUACAACAACUUGGAAAUUACUGUGUAUUCCUUCAAGGAGGCUUGUCUGAAAGUACAACAUUGACAUUUGUUUAGAUAUAGGUAACUUUUAGUCCAUAUUUACAAGACAUGGUUAAAGUUUGCAUAGUUACAAAAUAUAAAUAUACCUUAAAUUCAUCUCUUUCUCUCACUCUUUCUCGCCUCUCUCCUCCUUCUCUCUCCCCUCCUCCAUUCCCGUUCCUCUAUUGGUCCCCCUUCUUUCUCAUUCUUUUAUUUUUUAUAAUUUCUAGAAUUGUAUAUUUGUAUAUAAACAAUGCAAAAUGUAGAUGUACACACUCAAUAUAAAUUCUGCAAACUGUAUAUAUACAGAUAUAUUGUUAUUUAAUAUACACUAUAAUAAUAUACAAACAUUCAGAUAUACAAUUGGAAAAAAAAAUGUACAUAUACAAUUAACAACUUAUGCAUAUAUGACUUAUAUAAUUGACAUAUAUGACUUAUAUAAUUGACAUAUAUGACUUAUACAUAUACCACUUAUUCAAUUGACUUGUACAUAUACGACUUAUACAAUUACAUCAUAUAUACAAUUAAUAUACAAUUUAUACAUAUGCACAUAUAUAUACAUAUACAAUUAACAACUUAUAUAUAUGACUUCUAUAAUUGACAUAUAUGACUUAUACAAUUGAGUUACACGUAUACUACUUAUACAAUUACAUCAUAUACACAAUUAGUAUACAACUUAUACAUAUACGCAUAUUUAAUUGACACAUAAUAUAUAAUUGAUAACAAUUUAGUUGAAUUGAGAAAAUAAUGAUUGAACUAAGUUAUCUCAAUCUAAAUUUAUGAUAGAAAGGAUUGCAAAAUAUAAAAAAAAAUAAAAAAUUAAAUCUAAUAUCAAAAAUACUGAAAGAUUACCUCAAAUCUUCAAUAAAUAUUCUAAACAAAUUUUAUGUGGUGACAAAUCCGCAAAAAAAAGGUUCUCCAAAGUAAAAUCAAGAAUGAUAUCUUGUGAUAUUAAAGUGAUUUUGAGAGAAAAAUAAGGAGAAAAAAGUUGAAGAAGGUCUCUUGAAGAACACUAUUAUGAUGUUGCCAAUGUUGUUGUUUCUUCAAUGUAAAAACAAGGAUAUUAGAGUGAUUUUGAGAGAAAAGUAAGAAAAAAAAAGUUCAAGAAGAUAUCUUCAAUAAUCGUGCAUUUUGAUGUUCCCAUUGUUGCCUUUUUUUAGCCAAUAGAACAAAAAAAAAAAAGAUUUUAAACUACCAAAUAACUAUGAAUUGUAAUUUUUUAAAACAUUAGCCAUACCAUGUAAUUAAUAUAGUAUUUUGUCUAUAAUAUAUAAUUUUUUCCUUUUAUAUUAAUAUUGGGCUUUGUUUUAAUUUGUUACUAAUAAACAAAUAUUAUAAUUAAAGACCCAAGAAUAUAUAUCUAUUUUUUGAAUAUAAAAAAAUAAUAAAAAUAAUUAGAAAGUAGAUUAUAAGUAAUAUUGUUUUACGAAUAAAAAAUUAAAAUCAUAUAUAUAUUAUGUCGGUUCGGUUUGGGUUCGGUUUGAUUUUAUUUUUGCUAAUACCAAACCAAACCAAGAAUGAUCGGAUUUUUUUUUGCCAACACCAAAUCAAUCAAACCAAACCAUAAGUCGGUUUUUUUCCUCGGUUUGGUUUGAUUCAUCGGUUCGGUUUGACUUAACGGUUCGGUCUGUACACCCUAUAUGAACCUAUGUCCGCCCGUACAUGAUGAGAUGCGGCCGCAUGUCACGUGGGUAUCUCCGGUCGCAGAUGGCCAAGUGCCCCCGCAAGUCCCAUUUUCGUUACUCAAAUAGUGAACUGAAGGAUUAUUUCCUAAUUAGCACUUAAGUUUCAAGUGAAUUUUGUCAAAAAAUAGUCUCUCGAUCAUUUUCCGAAGCCGAGCCAUGGCUCAUUCAUCCAUUGCGAGUACCAAUACUGUUCUAACUACAGAAUGAACGUGCGGGAAGAAGAAUGAGGAUCAGGAGGUCGACCUCUUGAUCAUCAUACUUCUCCGCACAUGUUCAAUCUGCAAUUACAGUAACAUUGUUGGUACUCUCAAUGGAUGAAUGUGUUGAUUCUAUUGGCCUGGCGGCCACUUCGGAGGGGUGCUGGCGUAAGUUUUCUUUUUUGAAUUUCUUCAUAAGUGCAAACUGUUUUCUCUCUUGAUUUCUUUUUUAACAAACAACAAAAGGAAACAUAUUCACCAAAUUAGCAGACUAAAAAUACAACAGAAAAACAUGUUAAAUCCUAAUGCAAACUCGGAAAGGUAAUCGUUUUAUUUCUUUAUAUUACCUUGUAGCAACAUUGAUUGGCAUGACCAUACUCGUACAAGGUCCGCACCACUGUAUCAUUGAGUUCUAAGGCGACCAGAAACCAAUUCUGGUGGAUGAACCGUGACUAUGGAAUAAGAGCCUGAUAACAGCCUCCAUGGCCUUCCAGGGGUCAUGGAGCCGUAGAGGAUCAUUCUCGACUACCCUUCAUUUCUUUCGCUCAUAUAACCUGACUAUAACUAUGAGAAUAGGCAAAUAACAUUUUUCACUCAGUCAGCAGCUCAUAAAUGUUGGAGUAAUCAUGGAACAUGUUACACUAUUUUACGGAAGUUUGGAUCUGAGCUUUCCGAUUGACAAUGAUAUGAAGGUCAAAGGACUAAUAGUCCCACAUCGUCAAGUGAAGAAGAUAGAAUAGUAGUAGGGAGAUACUAUAUAAAUGGGCCCAGGACAGCGUAGCAACAUACUUACCUGGACGAGGUCAAUGGGUGAUCAACAAGGUCCAUGGCCUAGGUUGGUGACCUUCAUUGCACUUUGGAGGGGUGCCAGCCUAAGGUCGGCCCAAGUGGCUGAGCCUACGUCAUAAUUUGUGGCAGCGGGGGCCUGCGUUCGCGCGGCCCCUACCCAAUUCAAAGUCUAAAUCUCUUACUCGAUACAUGGAUUGUGAACUUGAUGUUUCUCUAGUUAACCUAAAUGUUUUUUCUUGAAAGAAAGAUAAGCUCUUGGUACAUUUGUAAUUCAGAAUCUGGUUUACUUGAUAUGAUUAUGGAAUCAUUGAACAUACUAGAAGUUGUAUCCUCCAAAAAUAGGUGUAUGCCACUAUUUGCACCGCGCACACAGUAUUCUUUAAUUAAAGGAGAAAGAAUAGUUCAAUCUGUGGUCACUGCGUGGAAGUUGUAUCUAAUUUCAAGGGCUAAGGACAUCUAUGAGACAUACUUACCUUGACGGGGUCAAUGGGCGAUCAUGAAGGCCCAUGGCCUAGGUUGGCCACCUCCAUUGCACUUUGGAGGGGUGCUUGCCUAAGGUCGACCCAAGUGGUCGAGCCUACGUCAUAAUUUGUGGCAGCGGGGGCCUGC